UGUGUACAUUAGAGACAAUUAAAAACAUCCAUCUACCCUCAUUCUAUUAAUACUCAAACAACACACACUUCAACCAAGCACAGACUUCUUUUUACUCCCCUCCCUCUCUCGAUUCUUUAUACACAGGCAACAAAAGCCAAACAUCCCUUGGGCUCCUCCUUCCCCACUCGACACCCCUCCUUCUCCUUUCUCUCGUUUGAUUAGCAACAAGCAAACCCAACACCCCUGUUCAUCCUUGAAGAAACGACCAGCCACCACCGGCUGGUGGUGGCAUACGGCGGCGAUAUCACAGAAGAGAGAUCGAGAGAGAGAGAAACCGAGAAAGAGAGAGGGAACCGGCGGUCAGAGGUUCGGACCGCCGGUCGGUUCAUUACCCUGGUGGUCGGCAUUAUUACCCGGUGGGUUUCGAACUCCGGCCAGAUUCAAAUGUUCAGAUUCGCUUUGGGUGGUUCAGUUUCGCGACGGUAGUCUUGUUCAACGCUGACACGUUUUUCCGGCGACUCGCCGGUGUUGGAGAAAAUGAUGAUGAUGGCGGCGUGGCUUGAUUGUUUCUGCAUCCUUCUCCUUGAAACAGUUCAUGUUUCUUUCUCAAAAAAAAAUGGUUAGUUCCUUUUUCAGUUGAAUGAAGACUGCACUAUAAGUGAAGAUUAGUUAGUUCUUUGCAUUUAAAUGAAGACUGUCAUUGAUACACGUCAGGUUUCGGUCAAACUUGGUCAAAGUCAACAGUGGUUGUUGUUCAGUCAAAGACGGGUUAACAGUCAAAGUUAGUCAGAACUGGUCAACGGGUUUGGUUUUGUCAACACCAGGUCAAACCCGGUCAACGCUGGUCAACAAAAGUCAAACAUC
This 846-nucleotide long non-coding RNA is filed under the name Helianthus annuus (common sunflower). RNAcentral's name for it is "hypothetical non coding rna". Lineage: Eukaryota; Viridiplantae; Streptophyta; Magnoliopsida; Asterales; Asteraceae. The record is from RNAcentral.